UACGAAGGGGGCUAGCGUUGCUCGGAAUCACUGGGCGUAAAGCGCACGUAGGCGGAUCUUUAAGUCAGGGGUGAAAUCCUGGAGCUCAACUCCAGAACUGCCUUUGAUACUGGGGAUCUCGAGUCCGGAAGAGGUGAGUGGAACUCCGAGUGUAGAGGUGAAAUUCGUAGAUAUUCGGAAGAACACCAGUGGCGAAGGCGGCUCACUGGUCCGGUACUGACGCUGAGGUGCGAAAGCGUGGGGAGCGAACCGG
Molecule: ribosomal RNA, 253 nt
Filed under: uncultured bacterium
Lineage: Bacteria
Description: partial 16S ribosomal RNA
Rfam family: Bacterial small subunit ribosomal RNA
Source: RNAcentral